This 315-nucleotide small nuclear RNA is filed under the name Octodon degus (degu). Its description in RNAcentral is "7SK RNA (ENSODEG00000023786.1)". It matches the Rfam family "7SK RNA". Rfam says of the family: 7SK was discovered as an abundant small nuclear RNA in the mid-70s but a possible function has only recently been suggested. The record is from Rfam by way of RNAcentral. Lineage: Eukaryota; Metazoa; Chordata; Mammalia; Rodentia; Octodontidae.
GGAUGUGAGGGCGAUUUGGCUGCGACAUCUGUCACCCCAUUGAUCGCCAGGGUUGAUUCGGCUGAUCUGGCUGGCUAGGUGAGUGUCCCCUUCCUCCCUCAACAAUCCACGUGCGUCCCUCCCGAAGCUGCGCGCUCUGUUGAAGAGGACAAUCACCCUCGAUAGAGGACCAUUCCUUGGUCAAGGGUGUACGAGUAGCUGCGCUCCCCUGCUAGAACCUCCAAACAGCUACUUUUGGUUGUUCUUAUAUAAACGAAGUAAAAUAUGUGCAAAAUGCUUUGUAAACUGCAAAGCUAACUGGGGUAGCUAAUACUU